UACAGAGACUGCAAGCGUUAUUCGGAUUCACUGGGCGUAAAGGGUGCGUAGGCGGAUUAUUAAGUCAGUGGUGAAAGCCUACAGCUUAACUGUAGAAUUGCCAUUGAUACUGAUGAUCUUGAGUAUGAUUGAGGUGGGCGGAAUGUGUCAUGUAGCGGUGAAAUGCUUAGAUAUGACACAGAACACCGAUUGCGAAGGCAGCUCACUAAGUCAUAACUGACGCUGAUGCACGAAAGCGUGGGGAGCAAACAGG
RNAcentral lists this ribosomal RNA (253 nucleotides) under uncultured bacterium. RNAcentral's name for it is "partial 16S ribosomal RNA". It matches the Rfam family "Bacterial small subunit ribosomal RNA", at positions 524 to 776 of the family's 1533-position model. The record is from RNAcentral.